Molecule: small nuclear RNA, 103 nt
Organism: Onychomys torridus (southern grasshopper mouse)
Lineage: Eukaryota; Metazoa; Chordata; Mammalia; Rodentia; Cricetidae
Source: RefSeq, a predicted model, not a curated record
GUCACCUCGCAGCACACAGACUAAAACUGGGACAAUACAGAGAAGAUUAGCAUGGCCCCUGCACAGGGAUGACACGCAAAUUCGUGAAGCGUUUCAUAUUAAA